RNAcentral lists this transfer RNA (68 nucleotides) under Vibrio cholerae HC-28A1. RNAcentral's name for it is "partial tRNA-Leu". The record is from RNAcentral. Lineage: Bacteria; Pseudomonadati; Pseudomonadota; Gammaproteobacteria; Vibrionales; Vibrionaceae. RNAcentral also lists the same sequence under 1 other name.
CGGAAGUGGCGAAAUUGGUAGACGCACCAGAUUUAGGUUCUGGCGCCGCGAGGCGUAAGAGUUCAAGU